AAAUGCUGUGAAAGUUGUCAGUUUUAUAAUGGGACCCUAUGGGAAUCGGAAUUAGUGUAAUAUAACCUUUAAAAAGCACAUUUACUGCAAUGUCAAGGUCACAUGGAUUCGUCUGCAAGCGAGACAAGUAGAAAAUGAAUUUUAAUGAAUGUUUUGAUGAUUUGGGUGCUAAAAUAGAUGAGAGGUGUCAAUAUUUUGGUCCAAAUGGAUGUUUUAGGUGGUUUUGGACUGUUCCGGAUGGGUGGGGGACCUGGUAUGGACAAGUAAGGGUAACAUUUCCAACAAAUCUUAAAUGUAAAUAUUAUUAUGUCCAUAGAUUGAAGUUUCAGGUGGAGAGCAAGAUGAAAAAUAUGCAAAAUUACAUGCAUGCAACCCAUUUAUGCCAUUUUUCUCUUUGUUUGUAGGCCUGACCGUUUGUCCUUGAGCCGUAGAUGGUCAACAAUCCGCUAGCUGUCUUGCUCUGACUGGUGCACUGGACAUGAUUUCAAUAGUCAGCCAGACCAUGAUUGAGCUUAAGGGUUGUGCUGCGGAUGCAGCCUGUGCAGUUCCGGGAGAAAGUCACUGUCUCGGGCAAUGCGGUCUGGUAUCAGGUCUUGAUGAUCCUUGCCUGACUGCGGGUUUGUGUACUCUAAUCCGACUCUGUGUCCUGAACAGAGGCCGCAGUGGUGCAGCGCUUGUGGACGAUCCAUCAACAUCCUGAAAGGUCAACACUACACCAAGCUGGGAAAAUUGAUCCUGAUAGUCAUCCCCAGGCCUGACCGUUUGUCCUUGAGCCGUAGAUGGUCAACAAUCCGCUAGCUGUCUUGCUCUGACUGGUGCACUGGACAUGAUUUCAAUAGUCAGCCAGACCAUGAUUGAGCUUAAGGGUUGUGCUGCGGAUGCAGCCUGUGCAGUUCCGGGAGAAAGUCACUGUCUCGGGCAAUGCGGUCUGGUAUCAGGUCUUGAUGAUCCUUGCCUGACUGCGGGUUUGUGUACUCUAAUCCGACUCUGUGUCCUGAACAGAGGCCGCAGUGGUGCAGCGCUUGUGGACGAUCCAUCAACAUCCUGAAAGGUCAACACUACACCAAGCUGGGAAAAUUGAUCCUGAUAGUCAUCCCCAGGCCUGACCGUUUGUCCUUGAGCCGUAGAUGGUCAACAAUCCGCUAGCUGUCUUGCUCUGACUGGUGCACUGGACAUGAUUUCAAUAGUCAGCCAGACCAUGAUUGAGCUUAAGGGUUGUGCUGCGGAUGCAGCCUGUGCAGUUCCGGGAGAAAGUCACUGUCUCGGGCAAUGCGGUCUGGUAUCAGGUCUUGAUGAUCCUUGCCUGACUGCGGGUUUGUGUACUCUAAUCCGACUCUGUGUCCUGAACAGAGGCCGCAGUGGUGCAGCGCUUGUGGACGAUCCAUCAACAUCCUGAAAGGUCAACACUACACCAAGCUGGGAAAAUUGAUCCUGAUAGUCAUCCCCAGGUAGUGGAAUGAAUGUUCACUGAACUACAGAGGAAUCACACCCAAAUGACUUUCCUGCCACGACAUUAGUGUGGCCACUCGCGUAGGAAUUCCUUAGCAAACAUGCUCUUUUGCAUGGUGACUGUGGACAUUUUUGCAAAACUUACGAUUUCAACACUGGAUUUUAAAGAGAAUACUUAAUAAAAUGUCGCUAACAGGACUUAUUUAUAUGAGAGAGACUAUCUGGAUGCGCAUUAAGUGUCACUUUGUGUCGUAAGCUGUUGAAGGAGCGAUUUGCGCCUUUUUAAGUGUUAAUUUUGGGUAGCCGGCUUGUAUCGGCUUGAAAGCUGAAAAUUAUGCCUCUCAUCAUAAUAGCAUUAAUUUUUGUAAUUGCAAUGUGUAUGUUUAGAUUGUAAGUGAAGCUUUUAAUAAUAAUUUUCUUAAAAAACAUGA
Molecule: long non-coding RNA, 1880 nt
Organism: Dreissena polymorpha
Lineage: Eukaryota; Metazoa; Mollusca; Bivalvia; Myida; Dreissenidae
Exons: 9
Source: RefSeq, a predicted model, not a curated record